CAAUAGCGUAUAUUAAAGUUGUUGCAGUUAAAAAGCUCGUAGUUGGAUCUGUGGUGUGCGGUGGGCUCCGGGCACUUGUUGUCUGAGUAGCUCGCCGCUGCCAUCCUUGGGUGGAACCUGUGUGGCAUUAGGUUGUCGUGCAGGGGAUGCCCAUCGUUUACUGUGAAAAAAUUAGAGUGUUCAAAGCAGGCUUAUGCCGUUGAAUAUAUUAGCAUGGAAUAAUGGGAUAGGACUUUUUCGCUAUUUUGUUGGUUUGCGCGAAGAGGUAAUGAUUAAUAGGGACAGUUGGGGGUAUUCGUAUUCCAUUGUCAGAGGUGAAAUUCUUGGAUUUUUGGAAGACGAACUACUGCGAAAGCAUUUACCAAGGAUGUUUUCAUUAA
Molecule: ribosomal RNA, 380 nt
Filed under: uncultured eukaryote
Lineage: Eukaryota
Description: partial 18S ribosomal RNA
Rfam family: Eukaryotic small subunit ribosomal RNA
Source: RNAcentral